This 78-nucleotide microRNA precursor is filed under the name Schistosoma margrebowiei. RNAcentral describes it as "mir-3492 microRNA precursor family". It matches the Rfam family "mir-3492 microRNA precursor family". Lineage: Eukaryota; Metazoa; Platyhelminthes; Trematoda; Strigeidida; Schistosomatidae. The record is from Rfam by way of RNAcentral.
CGCUUUUCGAAUCCGUACUGAGAUUUCGUCAGACACCAACCCGUUUGUGCUGAUCAGACUUCCAAGAUAAGCAAAGUU